AGCAGCCGCGGUAAUUCCAGCUCCAAUAGCGUAUAUUAAAGUUGCUGCAGUUAAAAAGCUCGUAGUUGAAUUUCGGGAUCGAUAUAUCGGUCGUGCCUCGGUACGUACUGGUAUUUUCGGUUUCUCCCUUCUGACGAACCUUGAUGUCAUUAAUUUGGUGUCUUGGGGAAUCAGGACUGUUACUUUGAAAAAAUUAGAGUGUUUAAAGCAGGCUCACGCUUGAAUACAUUAGCAUGGAAUAAUGAAAUAGGACGUUUGAUUCUAUUUUGUUGGUUUCUAGGAUCGACGUAAUGAUUAAUAGGGAUAGUUGGGGGCAUUAGUAUUCAAUUGUCAGAGGUGAAAUUCUUGGAUUUAUUGAAGACUAACUACUGCGAAAGCAUUUGCCAAGGAUGUUUUCAUUAAUCAAGAACGAAAGUUAGGGGAUCGAAGACGAUCAGAUACCGUCGUAGUCUUAACCAUAAACUAUGCCGACUAGGGAUCGGAUGAUGUUAAUUUUUAAUGACUCAUUCGGCGCCUUACG
RNAcentral lists this ribosomal RNA (520 nucleotides) under uncultured Glomus. RNAcentral's name for it is "SSU rRNA". It matches the Rfam family "Eukaryotic small subunit ribosomal RNA", at positions 569 to 1092 of the family's 1831-position model. The record is from RNAcentral. Lineage: Eukaryota; Fungi; Glomeromycota; Glomeromycetes; Glomerales; Glomeraceae.